RNAcentral lists this ribosomal RNA (585 nucleotides) under uncultured bacterium. RNAcentral's name for it is "partial 16S ribosomal RNA". It matches the Rfam family "Bacterial small subunit ribosomal RNA", at positions 355 to 1375 of the family's 1533-position model. The record is from RNAcentral.
UGGGGAAUUUUGGACAAUGGGCGAAAGCCUGAUCCAGCAAUGCCGCGUGUGUGAAGAAGGCCUUCGGGUUGUAAAGCACUUUUGUCCGGAAAGAAAUCCUUGGCUCUAAUACAGUCGGGGGAUGACGGUACCGGAAGAAUAAGCACCGGCUAACUACGUGCCAGCAGCCGCGGUAAUACGUAGGGUGCAAGCGUUAAUCGGAAUUACUGGGCGUAAAGCGUGCGCAGGCGGUUUGCUAAGACCGAUGUGAAAUCCCCGGGCUCAACCUGGGAACUGCAUUGGGUGACUGGCAGGCUAGAGUAUGGCAGAGGGGGGUAGAAUUCCACGUGUAGCAGUGAAAUGCGUAGAGAUGUGGAGGAAUACCGAUGGCGAAGGCAGCCCCCUGGGCCAAUACUGACGCUCAUGCACGAAAGCGUGGGGAGCAAACAGGAUUAGAUACCCUGGUAGUCCACGCCCUAAACGAUGUCAACUAGUUGUUGGGGAUUCAUUCCUUAGUAACGUAGCUAACGCGUGAAGUUGACCGCCUGGGGAGUACGGUCGCAAGAUUAAAACUCAAAUGAAUUGACGGGGUCAUAGCUGUUUCCU